UAGCAAUUGCAGACAAUCAAGCAUCCCCGAAUCCUGAAGCUUUUUAACAACCCUUAAAACCUGGAUCGUUGUCAACCCGAACUUACCUUUCUCACCCGAGGUGGAUCCGAAAUGACCCGAGUGUUUGGUUCUCAGCUUGGCUCGGACUCCAAUCACGGGUCGAACAGAAAGUUUCUUGCUUAUUUCAAUAACCAAAUCCACCUCCUCCUCUUCUUCAAGAACAAUUACAGUGUUCAACGCGAGCUUCCUUGCUAGCAAGGCAAGGAAAA
This 269-nucleotide long non-coding RNA is filed under the name Gossypium raimondii (Peruvian cotton). RNAcentral describes it as "long non-coding RNA (GRAI_LNC001293)". Lineage: Eukaryota; Viridiplantae; Streptophyta; Magnoliopsida; Malvales; Malvaceae. The record is from RNAcentral.